Molecule: long non-coding RNA, 344 nt
Filed under: Mytilus galloprovincialis (Mediterranean mussel)
Lineage: Eukaryota; Metazoa; Mollusca; Bivalvia; Mytilida; Mytilidae
Source: RNAcentral
GUCAAUGUACAGACUUAAUCAUUACGAUAAAUUCAGUACUUGUUACACAAUUUGCAUGAAGGCAAUUCCAUCCUGAACAGUAAUUUCUUCGAAAAUUCAAUAUGUUGUUGAUCUAGAUAUAUACUCUUGAAUAUAUAGCUGCUGUAUAGAAUGAACAUAGAAUGAACAGAUAUUAAAUAAUAGCCAGAAAACUUUCGGUUAUGAACUGAAUGAACUGCAGUGGAUAAGUCUGAAGGGAAAGACAAAAAUAUCUUAAAAUUUAUUAUUCAGACUUUUUGAAAGCGGUUCAGAUCAAACUAAACGUUCCAAAUCAACAUUAAGUUUAACAGCAGUAAUUUUAAGAA